CCCUCCCGAUUCAACUGCACGCACAGCCCUGAGGUCGCCUCGCCCAGAUCCCCUUCCACCGCCGCCUUGCACUACUCCCCGCCUCCAUCUCCCGUCGUCAUCGAGCAGCAUGCAACCUCACGGGUCAGCCCCCUUCCCCUACUCCUCCCCACCACAACGUCUUGUCCACCGAUCUACCGAGGUGCUAAUUCUUCACGACACUCAUGGCCAUGAUCUGCGGCGGUGCUUAUUCUCCACAGCACCGCGAGAGUGAUCCGCCAAGGCCAACGAGAGCGGGCACCGACGACCGUGAGAGAAAUUUGAUGGCCGAUCCCUUGGCACGUAGGUGUCGGUGAUGCCCAUCCCAGCAGGGAGGAUGAAUAUGCAUCAGGCAAUCACCAAACGACGGGAGAAUGCUUCCUUCACCUCGAGCGCCAUCACAACAAUUACAGGAGGUCUCGGCUAAUGGUGCAUCGUUGUCGCAGCGCCGCUCCAUCCAUCCAAUCCUUUAUAAUGACGCUAAUAACCAUGGCUAUAGACGGAAGCACGCCCACCAUAGGAACGAAGCACAACUACCAUCACAAAGAAGCAUGGCCAAUAUUGGUAGGAAGCACGACAACCAUGCACGGCCAGCAUUGGAAGGAUGCACGUCCGCCAUCAAACAGAAGCACGAUCACAAUCACAAUGAAGCACGACAAACAUUGAAACAAAGCAGGGUGACCAUCGGCCCAGUGGUGUUUGAACUGUGCCUAGAUGCUGCGUUUUGUUUUAUGAAAGCAAUUUCUGAUUUAUUUUUUUUGGAUGCGUAUUCUUGUUUCUUUGUAAGCAAUAGUUCUGUUUUGUCUCAAACCAAUGCUCCGUCUUAAUGGUCCUUGGAAGCAAUUUAACGAUGCUUCCACUGUACAUAGAUUUUGCUCUACGUGAUAAAGUU
Molecule: long non-coding RNA, 910 nt
Organism: Triticum aestivum (bread wheat)
Lineage: Eukaryota; Viridiplantae; Streptophyta; Magnoliopsida; Poales; Poaceae
Exons: 3
Source: RefSeq, a predicted model, not a curated record